RNAcentral lists this ribosomal RNA (568 nucleotides) under uncultured archaeon. RNAcentral's name for it is "bacterial SSU rRNA". It matches the Rfam family "Archaeal small subunit ribosomal RNA", at positions 310 to 879 of the family's 1478-position model. The record is from RNAcentral.
GCCGCGAUUCGCCCUUGGGGUGCAGCAGGCGCGAAAACUUUACAAUGCCGGCAACGGCGAUAAGGGAACCUCGAGUGCCAGGUUACAAAUCUGGCUGUCGUGAUGCCUAAAAAGCAUUGCAUAGCAAGGGCCGGGCAAGACCGGUGCCAGCCGCCGCGGUAACACCGGCGGCUCGAGUGGUAACCGUUAUUAUUGGGUCUAAAGGGUCUGUAGCCGGCCGGGUAAGUCUCUUGGGAAAUCUGGCAGCUUAACUGUCAGGCUUUCAGGAGAUACUGCCUGGCUCGAGGCCGGGAGAGGUGAGAGGUACUUCAGGGGUAGGGGUGAAAUCUUGUAAUCCUUGAAGGACCACCAGUGGCGAAGGCGUCUCACCAGAACGGACCUGACGGCAAGGGACGAAAGCUAGGGGCACGAACCGGAUUAGAUACCCGGGUAGUCCUAGCCGUAAACGAUACUCGCUAGGUGUCGGCCACGGUGCGACCGUGGUCGGUGCCGUAGGGAAGCCGUGAAGCGAGCCACCUGGGAAGUACGGCCGCAAGGCUGAAACUUAAAGGAAUUGGCGGGGGAGCAC